UCCAGGAGGAUAUGAUGUAGGGUCGCCAUAACAAGCCACCAUACAGAAUAUCACACACGGAUACUGUCACUCACACACACCGAGCAAACUGUCAAACCCUGUGGAAGAAAACGUCAAAACAGUUUAGUCUGACAUGGAGGGAUAAA
This is a long non-coding RNA of Thalassophryne amazonica, 146 nucleotides long. RefSeq lists it as uncharacterized. The record is from RefSeq and is a predicted model, not a curated record. NCBI's taxonomy places the organism in Eukaryota, Metazoa, Chordata, Actinopteri, Batrachoidiformes, Batrachoididae. The transcript has 3 exons.